Molecule: ribosomal RNA, 527 nt
Filed under: Clavispora fructus
Lineage: Eukaryota; Fungi; Ascomycota; Pichiomycetes; Serinales; Metschnikowiaceae
Description: eukaryotic LSU rRNA
Rfam family: Eukaryotic large subunit ribosomal RNA
Source: RNAcentral
ACUGAUUGCCUCGUACGGCGAGUGAAGCGGCAAAAGCUCAAAUUUGAAAUCCUGCGGGAGUUGUAAUUUGAAGGUUGCGGGUCCUGAGGCUGUGCGCGCCCAAGUCCAUUGGAACAUGGCGCCUGGGAGGGUGAGAGCCCCGUCCGGCGCAGCGCAGUCUUUUUUGCGGCCCGUUUCCGACGAGUCGAGUUGUUUGGGAAUGCAGCUCAAAGUGGGUGGUAAAUUCCAUCUAAAGCUAAAUAUUGGCGAGAGACCGAUAGCGAACAAGUACAGUGAUGGAAAGAUGAAAAGCACUUUGAAAAGAGAGUGAAACAGUACGUGAAAUUGUUGAAAGGGAAGGGCUUGCAAGCAGACACGGUUUCGGCCGGGCCAGCAUCGGUUUGCCGGGGCGGACAAUGCGGCGGGAAUGUGGCGCGCCUCCUUGCGGGGCGCGUGUUUAUAGCCCGCCGAGAUACGCCCAUGGCAGACCGAGGCCUGCGAUCCAAUCUAGGAUGCUGGCGUAAUGGUUGCAAGCCGCCCGUCUUAAA